Long non-coding RNA from Panicum virgatum (switchgrass), 804 nucleotides. RefSeq lists it as uncharacterized. NCBI's taxonomy places the organism in Eukaryota, Viridiplantae, Streptophyta, Magnoliopsida, Poales, Poaceae. The transcript has 2 exons. The record is from RefSeq and is a predicted model, not a curated record.
UCGCAAACGAGCUCUCUACCUCCCCCUCUACUCCCCUCCCUGUUUCAAGCGCCAAGCCGAGCCCCCACGGUGUCCAGAGCCGCCCGCUGCCCGCCAUUAGUGCCGCCGCCCCUAGGUCGCCGCGGAGCUCACCCCUCCGGCCUUCCUCGUGCCCAACAUCACCCGCAGCUAGCUUCCUUGCCUCCCACUGGUGCUCCUCGACCCGUUCACCAUCGCCCACGGCCACCAGACCGCCGCCGCCACCGCCAACCGCCGCCGCCGGCCGCUGCUCUCCGCGGAGCCGCCCGCUCCGGCCAUCCCAGCUCCAACCAAAGCCACCCCGAGGUACGAUAGAUGAACCAUAUGAAGGGCGUGAUAUUGGAACCGAACACGAAGACGAUGUUUGGUGGACAUAUCCAGAAGAGGCAAAGAGCCAGGAGUACAUGCUUGGACCGGAAUACUCGCCAAGCGAGUGUCAUCUAACAAACACUGACCUAGUGUUAAUUCCAGACAAGCCCCGAUGCGUGUCCUAGUAUUUUAAAAUUAUGACAUCCAUAUAUGUUGCUAGUACUUAUGCAUUACGUUCUAGGAGUUGAUUUGAAACCUAGUUGCAUGAUCCGUGGUUCCUUGAGUUGUACUAGUAUGUAUAGGGCGAUAGAAACGCUAUGCUUAAUAAGUAUCGAUAGAAGUCGAGUGACUGCUUGUCACUCGCGAGAUAUAGGAUGUUUAGAAGACGAGUAAUUUCCAGUUACUCGCGAGAUAUAAGUUAUAUGUAUAGUUAUGUUACAGUAUCUGAGUUAUUGAAAGUGAUAUGGAAUUGUGAGA